Long non-coding RNA from Triticum aestivum (bread wheat), 1122 nucleotides. RefSeq lists it as uncharacterized. Lineage: Eukaryota; Viridiplantae; Streptophyta; Magnoliopsida; Poales; Poaceae. The record is from RefSeq and is a predicted model, not a curated record. The transcript is spliced from 4 exons.
UUGCCCUGGUCUCUUCCAAAUCGCCGACACCAACCGUCUCGUCUCCCUCCUCCGCCCAACCUCGCCGCCGGCCCUUCUCCUUCCAAUCUCCAUCUCGCAACCCCGGAGGCUACCGGAUCCGCCGCACCCCCCACCCACCCAUCCCUCGCGCGUCCAAUUUCUCUCUUCACACAGUUCCUCGUUGCGCCACCGGCGGUGGCUGCUUCCGGCGACGUUCGGCCAAUCCCGCCACCGCGAAACACAUCCUGAGGUCCUCUCGCACCACGGCGCCCUCCCAUCCACCUAGAUCGGCGCUCGCGGCCACCAAAGCCCACCUGCAACCCUCCCCCCAUGCCUAGGGUUUCGGCGUCGGCUCCGGCGCCGUUGGCCAUGUCGUCCUCGUUUCAUCCGCUGAGUGCAUCCCAUCCUCUCCCCUUGCUCCGUCCUAUCUCUCUCCUCCUUUUUUAACCUCUACUCUUCUCUUCUCCUGUAGACGUGUAGGGAGUAACGGCCACUGGACAGCCUUGCUGCUGCUCGGGACGAAGCAACCAUGUAGCUUUCUCCUCCUUCUCUGGCUUCAAAACUCGGAGGAGAAAUCAGAAUUGUCGUCAAAGUAACAACUAUGGAAGAGAUAAAAAGGUGCAUGGAGAAGGAUGUUAACGGAGUGACAAAGGUUGCAAAACUCACUGGAAUCAAAAUGACAACACUAGAAUAAAGAGCUCCAUGUACCAUCGAGCCUGUGUGGAUUAUUUGCAGUAGCAAGUGCCGAACGGCAGCAGCUUGCAGGGCAUGGUCUCUCCUGGGAAAGAUUCAGUGCACGCUCGCCUUUGCUAGCCCUUGAACAGAUAAGCACAUUUCAAAAAAAAAUGGUUUGUUUAAGGAGUGCUCUUAUAUAAGGAUAGCUAUUGCAAAUGUAGUUCAAAUGUUAGUUGAAAAAUAUUAAAUUUGAAAACAUUGCAUGUGCGAUAGCUGAAAUGAUAGUUGAAUUUGUACUCAUUUGACAAAUUAUUUUGUCGACCUUUCUUUAUUGUGGUUCCAUAGCAAAGCAUGUGCAUGAUGGUAUGAAAGGUUAAUCAUGAAGAUUGCAUACAAAAUACGUAUGCCCCUGUUGCAACGCACGGCAAUUACCUCGUAUAUUUUUAA